GCGGGGUUAGCUCAGUGGUUAGAGCGCCGGCCUGUCACGCCGGAGGCCGCGGGUUCAAGUCCCGUACUCCGCGCCA
RNAcentral lists this transfer RNA (76 nucleotides) under bacterium. RNAcentral describes it as "tRNA-Asp". It matches the Rfam family "tRNA". From Rfam's summary of the family: Transfer RNA (tRNA) molecules are approximately 80 nucleotides in length. Their secondary structure includes four short double-helical elements and three loops (D, anti-codon, and T loops). Further hydrogen bonds mediate the characteristic L-shaped molecular structure. tRNAs have two regions of fundamental functional importance: the anti-codon, which is responsible for specific mRNA codon recognition, and the 3' end, to which the tRNAs corresponding amino acid is attached (by aminoacyl-tRNA synthetases). tRNAs cope with the degeneracy of the genetic code in two manners: having more than one tRNA (with a specific anti-codon) for a particular amino acid; and 'wobble' base-pairing, i.e. permitting non-standard base-pairing at the 3rd anti-codon position. RNAcentral also lists the same sequence under 1 other name. The record is from RNAcentral.